This 102-nucleotide non-coding RNA is filed under the name Neomoorella thermoacetica. RNAcentral describes it as "Moorella thermoacetica Guanine sequence". It matches the Rfam family "Purine riboswitch aptamer". From Rfam's summary of the family: Riboswitches are metabolite binding domains within certain messenger RNAs that serve as precision sensors for their corresponding targets. Allosteric rearrangement of mRNA structure is mediated by ligand binding, and this results in modulation of gene expression. The record is from RNAcentral. Lineage: Bacteria; Bacillati; Bacillota; Clostridia; Neomoorellales; Neomoorellaceae. RNAcentral also lists the same sequence under 1 other name.
AAAAAUAAUUUAACCCUGCUUCGUAUAUUCCCGGAAAUGCGGUCCGGGAGUUUCUACCAGGCAACCGUAAAUUGCCCGGCUACGAAGGUUAUUCUUCGUCGU